Molecule: ribosomal RNA, 484 nt
Filed under: uncultured bacterium
Lineage: Bacteria
Description: bacterial SSU rRNA
Rfam family: Bacterial small subunit ribosomal RNA
Source: RNAcentral
GAUCAUGGCUCAGGAUGAACGCUAGCGACAGGCUUAACACAUGCAAGUCGAGGGGCAGCAUAAUGAAGUAGCAAUACGGAAUUGAUGGCGACCGGCGCACGGGUGCGUAACGCGUAUGUAACCUACCUCUAACAGGGGGAUAACACUGAGAAAUUGGUACUAAUACCCCAUAACACUUCGGAGGGCAUCCUCUGGGGUUGAAAGUUCCGGCGGUUAGAGAUGGGCCUGCGGCGCAUUAGCUAGUUGGUGAGAUAACGGCCCACCAAGGCGACGAUGCGUAGCCGAACUGAGAGGUUGAUCGGCCACAUUGGGACUGAGACACGGCCCAAACUCCUACGGGAGGCAGCAGUUAGGAAUAUUCGUCAAUGGGGGAAACCCUGAUGCAGCGACGCCGCGUGAGCGAUGAAGUAUUUCGGUAUGUAAAGCUCUAUCAGCAAGGAAGAUAAUGACGGUACUUGACUAAGAAGCCCCGGCUAACUACGUG